Molecule: long non-coding RNA, 478 nt
Organism: Oxyura jamaicensis (ruddy duck)
Lineage: Eukaryota; Metazoa; Chordata; Aves; Anseriformes; Anatidae
Exons: 3
Source: RefSeq, a predicted model, not a curated record
GCAGGUGUUCUCCAAGUCUUCACCGAAACAACUUUUCUGUUCAUUCAUGACUAAAAGCAUUUUUAAAUUCUGAUGUUAUUACACUUGGGAUCAGACAAUGGGCUUCUUGUUAAUCUGAGGAACUCACUACGUAGCAGUCCAGGAGAGAAACUAGACGAGGACUGAUCUGUGGAAGAAGGGAGAAGAGCAAGCCAGCCAUACAGUGCAUCGGACAUGUGGGUCAGUAGACAACACAGAGUCCUGAGCACAGCAGGAAUUGAGCAGCGAGGGGCAAUGCCUGUGCUCCCAGACCUUCUUCCCAGUGUCCCUCUCCAACUGCCUGGAGCACGUUCAUUGCAGGUCAGUGAUAAUCACCAUGCUAGUCUUCAAACACCCUGCUGAAGGCAGGAGCUGCAGCCGAGGCAGGUGAGAAGAGCAAAGGGCUCACACAGACACUGCCUUUCGCAGGUGACAGGGCUAAGUCCUGGGACGGGCUGGG